UUCAGCAAAUACUGAUGUUCAUCUCCAC
RNAcentral lists this non-coding RNA (28 nucleotides) under Homo sapiens (human). The record is from RNAcentral. Lineage: Eukaryota; Metazoa; Chordata; Mammalia; Primates; Hominidae.